CCUACGGGGUGCAGCAGUGGGGAAUAUUGCACAAUGGGCGCAAGCCUGAUGCAGCCAUGCCGCGUGUGUGAAGAAGGCCUUCGGGUUGUAAAGCACUUUCAGCGGGGAGGAAGGCGGUGAGGUUACUAACCUCAUCGAUUGACGUUACCCGCAGAAGAAGCACCGGCUAACUCCGUGCCAGCAGCCGCGGUAAUACGGAGGGGUGCAAGCGUUAAUCGGAAUUACUGGGCGUAAAGCGCACGCAGGCGGUCUGUCAAGUCGGAUGUGAAAUCCCCGGGCUCAACCUGGGAACUGCAUUCGAAACUGGCAGGCUAGAGUCUUGUAGAGGGGGGUAGAAUUCCAGGUGUAGCGGUGAAAUGCGGAGAGAUCUGGAGGAAUACCGGUGGCGAAGGCGGCCCCCUGGACAAAGACUGACGCUCAGGUGCGAAAGCGUGGGGAGCAAACAGGAUUAGAUACCCCAGUAGUC
Molecule: ribosomal RNA, 466 nt
Filed under: uncultured Klebsiella sp.
Lineage: Bacteria; Pseudomonadati; Pseudomonadota; Gammaproteobacteria; Enterobacterales; Enterobacteriaceae
Description: bacterial SSU rRNA
Rfam family: Bacterial small subunit ribosomal RNA
Source: RNAcentral